UUAAAUUGAAGAGUUUGAUCAUGGCUCAGAUUGAACGCUGGCGGCAGGCCUAACACAUGCAAGUCGAACGGUAACAGGAAGAAGAUUGAUGCUUU
RNAcentral lists this ribosomal RNA (95 nucleotides) under Salmonella enterica subsp. enterica serovar Enteritidis. Its description in RNAcentral is "partial 16S ribosomal RNA". It matches the Rfam family "Bacterial small subunit ribosomal RNA", at positions 1 to 89 of the family's 1533-position model. The record is from RNAcentral. Lineage: Bacteria; Pseudomonadati; Pseudomonadota; Gammaproteobacteria; Enterobacterales; Enterobacteriaceae.